CCCUGAUAUCUCCCCGGUCAACAUUCUUGUCUCUUGUCAGCAAUUGCUCCUGUCCUGAUUCCAUCUGGGAUUUGGAAUGCAUUCAGAGAAGAGGCCGUGUAUGGAGCCUGGAACUGGAAGGGGCAUCCAAGGUCAUGCCUUUCAGUCUUCCUUCAAAUUCUACAGCUACUGUGAAGAAAGUUGCAUUCCCACAGAGAACAUGUCAGACUGCAAGAAAAUUAUGACAAAAGGUCUCCAAGAGGACCUCUGAAACUUGGAUCUUAUCUCAUUGCACAAGCCAAAGCCAGUUUCCUAAAUCAAAGAAUGAAACAAAGUACAUCUUUAUCAAGUAUUGUUUUGACAUCACUCCCCUUUGUAUGACUGGACAGGUACUCCCAUUGUCUCCUUAAAUAAUUUUUAAACACUCCUGAAAUUUGGCUUGGAGACCCUCCUUUGAAACCAAUUUUCCUCCCUGAACGUACUAGCUCAUAUAUUUUUUUUUUACUUCAACCUGGCAAAAGUUAUUAUCCCUCAUAAAACUUU
Molecule: long non-coding RNA, 522 nt
Filed under: Lynx pardinus (Iberian lynx)
Lineage: Eukaryota; Metazoa; Chordata; Mammalia; Carnivora; Felidae
Source: RNAcentral